GCGUGGGUGGCUCAGUGGGUUAAGCGUCUGACUUUUGCUCAGGUGAUGAUCUCACGGUUUGUGGGUUUGAAUCCCACAUUGGGCU
RNAcentral lists this transfer RNA (85 nucleotides) under Felis catus (domestic cat). It matches the Rfam family "tRNA". From Rfam's summary of the family: Transfer RNA (tRNA) molecules are approximately 80 nucleotides in length. Their secondary structure includes four short double-helical elements and three loops (D, anti-codon, and T loops). The record is from Rfam by way of RNAcentral. Lineage: Eukaryota; Metazoa; Chordata; Mammalia; Carnivora; Felidae.